CAAAACCGGCGUGACAGGGCUACAGACGGGGCAUAGGGGGAGGAAGGAGGGAGUAUAUUAUUAGAAAAAGCAAAGCAUCCUCCACACCCCCAUAGACGAAAAAAACAGGCUUGUGGCUAAUAUACAUCAUUGAAGAGAGGUGGCAUCCUUAGUUCUAUGGGGAAGUAUUAAGUUCCGGAACAAAAAGUAAGGGGUUUAUCCCUUCCACACAUCGGGGGUAUAGUGAGGGGUGCCAUCCUUUAUUAGAAUUUCUGGGGGUUAAGAUCCCGCCGGCGGUUGGUUAAGUAAGAUGGGAAAUCCCCCCCCUCAACCGGGGAAGGUCAUUUGAAACAGGCCAGUCAGAUAUUUGUAGAGAGGGGUAGAAUUCCAGGUGUAGCGGUGAAAUGCGUAGAGUUCCGGAGGAAUACCGGUGGGGGAAGGCGGCCCCCUGGACAAAGACUGACGCUCAGGUGCGAAAGCGUGGGGAGCAAACAGG
Molecule: ribosomal RNA, 475 nt
Filed under: Neisseria subflava
Lineage: Bacteria; Pseudomonadati; Pseudomonadota; Betaproteobacteria; Neisseriales; Neisseriaceae
Description: partial 16S ribosomal RNA
Rfam family: Bacterial small subunit ribosomal RNA (bases 157-475)
Source: RNAcentral